Molecule: ribosomal RNA, 253 nt
Filed under: uncultured bacterium
Lineage: Bacteria
Description: partial 16S ribosomal RNA
Rfam family: Bacterial small subunit ribosomal RNA
Source: RNAcentral
CACGGGGGGAGCAAGCGUUGUUCGGAAUCACUGGGCGUAAAGGGCGUGUAGGCGGUCAGGUAAGUGAGAUGUGAAAUGCCCCGGCUCACCCGGGGACCGGCAUCUCAUACUGCUUGGCUUGAGUACGGGAGAGGAUGUGGGAAUUCCUGGUGUAGCGGUGAAAUGCGCAGAUAUCAGGAGGAACACCGGUGGCGAAGGCGGUUCUCUGGGCAUUACCUGACGCUGAGGAGCGAAAGUGUGGGGAGCGAACAGG